Molecule: unclassified non-coding RNA, 206 nt
Filed under: rhizosphere metagenome
Description: partial ribosomal RNA internal transcribed spacer region
Source: RNAcentral
GUAGGUGAACCUGCGGAGGGAUCAUUACCGAGUGAGGGCCUCUGGCCCGACCUCCAACCCUUUUGUGAACCGACCUCUGUUGCCUCGGGGGCGACCCGGGCCUUCGGGUGCCGGGUCCCCUCGGUGGACCAAACCAACUCUGCAUCUCUGCGUCUGAGUACAAAGUAAAUCAAUUAAAACUUUUAACAACGGAUCUCUUGGUUCUG